This 459-nucleotide ribosomal RNA is filed under the name uncultured bacterium. Its description in RNAcentral is "partial 16S ribosomal RNA". It matches the Rfam family "Bacterial small subunit ribosomal RNA", at positions 338 to 795 of the family's 1533-position model. The record is from RNAcentral.
CCUACGGGUGGCAGCAGUGAGGAAUAUUGGUCAAUGGGCGGGAGCCUGAACCAGCCAAGUCGCGUGAAGGAAGAAGGUACUUAGUAUUGUAAACUUCUUUUGUCGGGGAACAAAGGCGGAGACGCGUCUCCGGAUGAGUGUACCCGAAGAAAAAGCAUCGGCUAACUCCGUGCCAGCAGCCGCGGUAAUACGGAGGAUGCGAGCGUUAUCCGGUUUUAUUGGGUUUAAAGGGUGCGCAGGCGGCCUGUUAAGUCAGCGGUAAAAGCCCGGGGCUCAACCCCGGCGAGCCGUUGAAACUGGCGGGCUGGAGUUGGAGAGAAGUACGCGGAAUGCGCGGUGUAGCGGUGAAAUGCUUAGAUAUCGCGCAGAACCCCGAUUGCGAAGGCAGCGUACCGGCUCCACACUGACGCUGAGGCACGAAAGCGUGGGUAUCGAACAGGAUUAGAUACCCUUGUAGUC